UACGUAGGUGGCAAGCGUUGUCCGGAUUUAUUGGGCGUAAAGCGAACGCAGGCGGGAGAACAAGUCAGCUGUGAAAGCCCUCGGCUUAACCGAGGAACGGCAACUGAAACUGUUUUUCUUGAGUGCAGAAGAGGAGAGUGGAACUCCAUGUGUAGCGGUGAAAUGCGUAGAUAUAUGGAAGAACACCAGUGGCGAAGGCGGCUCUCUGGUCUGUAACUGACGCUGAGGUUCGAAAGCAUGGGUAGCGAACAGG
This 253-nucleotide ribosomal RNA is filed under the name Lactobacillus apis. Its description in RNAcentral is "partial 16S ribosomal RNA". It matches the Rfam family "Bacterial small subunit ribosomal RNA", at positions 524 to 776 of the family's 1533-position model. RNAcentral also lists the same sequence under 2 other names. The record is from RNAcentral. Lineage: Bacteria; Bacillati; Bacillota; Bacilli; Lactobacillales; Lactobacillaceae.